ACUAAAGGAUCAAAGACUAAGAACGCGGCGUCGUGCCGCCACGCCUUUAUGACGCGCAUCCUGCGGA
This 67-nucleotide small RNA is filed under the name Domibacillus iocasae. RNAcentral's name for it is "Bacillaceae-1 RNA". It matches the Rfam family "Bacillaceae-1 RNA". The record is from Rfam by way of RNAcentral. Lineage: Bacteria; Bacillati; Bacillota; Bacilli; Caryophanales; Bacillaceae.